This 543-nucleotide ribosomal RNA is filed under the name uncultured bacterium. RNAcentral's name for it is "bacterial SSU rRNA". It matches the Rfam family "Bacterial small subunit ribosomal RNA", at positions 776 to 1335 of the family's 1533-position model. The record is from RNAcentral.
AAAUAGAUACCCUGGUAGUCCACGCCGUAAACGAUGGAUGCUAGCUGUAUGCCGUAUCGACCCGGUAUGUAGCGAAGCUAACGCGUUAAGCAUCCCGCCUGGGGAGUACGGUCGCAAGAUUAAAACUCAAAGGAAUUGACGGGGACCCGCACAAGCGGUGGAGCAUGUUCUUUAAUUCGACGAUAACCGAAGAACCUUACCUGGACUUGACAUCCUGCGAAGGUCUCCGAAAGGAGAUUGUGCCUUCGGGAACGCAGUGACAGGUGCUGCAUGGCCGUCGUCAGCUCGUGUCGUGAGAUGUUGGGUUAAGUCCCGCAACGAGCGCAACCCUUAUGGUUAGUUGUAUUUUUCUAGCCAGACUGCCCCGGUAACGGGGAGGAAGGAGGGGAUGAUGUCAGGUCUUAUUGCCCUUACGUCCAGGGCUAGAAACGUGCUACAAUGGCCGGUACAAUGGGCAGCCAACCCGCGAGGGGAGCAAAUCUCAUCAAAGCCGGUCCCAGUUCGGAUUGCAGGCUGAAACUCGCUGCAUGAAGUCGGAAUCGC